Molecule: non-coding RNA, 112 nt
Filed under: Shewanella sp.
Lineage: Bacteria; Pseudomonadati; Pseudomonadota; Gammaproteobacteria; Alteromonadales; Shewanellaceae
Also listed under: 1 other name
Description: TPP sequence
Rfam family: TPP riboswitch aptamer (THI element)
About the family: Vitamin B(1) in its active form thiamin pyrophosphate (TPP) is an essential coenzyme that is synthesised by coupling of pyrimidine and thiazole moieties in bacteria. The previously detected thiamin-regulatory element, thi box was extended, resulting in a new, highly conserved RNA secondary structure, the THI element, which is widely distributed in eubacteria and also occurs in some archaea.
Source: RNAcentral
GAGCGCGCCAAGGGGUGUUCGCUGAAUGAUUCAGCCAACUGAGACGCUUAAUUGCGAACCCUUAGAACCUGAUCCGGCUAGUACCGGCGUAGGAAUGGGCCACAAUUCGCAC